UUCUGCCCUAUGAUUAAUUAAAUGGCUGCAGUACUCUGACUGUGCAAAGGUAGCAUAAUAAUUAGUCUUUUAAUUGAAGGCUUGUAUGAAUGAUUACAUGAGAAAUUUAUUUUAUUUUUUAUAUUUUUAUAAUUUGAUUUUUAAGUAAGAAAGCUUAAUUCUUUUUCUGGGACGAUAAGACCCUAUAGAACUUUAAUUUUAAUUUUAUUAUUUAAGUUUUUAGUUUUAUUUAUUUUAUAUUUUAAUUAAUUUUUUUGUUGGGGGGAUAAAUAAAUUUAAACUUUAUUUUUUUAUUUCAUUAUAUUUAUGUUUAUUUUGAUCCAUAAUUAAUUAUGAUUUUAAGAUUAAGUUACCUUAGGGAUAACAGCGUUAUUUUAGUGGGGAGUUCAUAUCUAUACUAAAGUUUGCGACCUCGAUGUUGAAUUAAGAUUAGAUUUUGGGGUAG
Molecule: ribosomal RNA, 445 nt
Filed under: Sailerana solitaris
Lineage: Eukaryota; Metazoa; Arthropoda; Insecta; Hemiptera; Cicadellidae
Description: partial large subunit ribosomal RNA
Source: RNAcentral